GCAAACUUGGUCAUUUAGAGGAAGUAAAAGUCGUAACAAGGUUUCCGUAGGUGAACCUGCGGAAGGAUCAUUACCAAGCUGAGAGGGUCACCGGCGCUGGGCGGUGCACCCCCGUGAGCGGGCGGGACGGGGCGCUUAGUCGCCCCUGCCCGCCCCCCGGGGGUGCCGGUCCCUUGAAAAAACCGCCCGCCCGGCUGCGGGGCCCUCGAACCCCCCACCCUUGUCCACCUCUACCUUUGUUGCCUCGGCGGGUCCGCCCGCCAGAGGACCACAACCAAAACUCUUGUUAAGAAACAACGUCCAGUCUGAGCUAUAGCAAAAGCAAUAGUUUAAAACUUUCAACAACGGAUCUCUUGGUUCUGGCAUCGAUGAAGAACGCAGC
Molecule: unclassified non-coding RNA, 382 nt
Filed under: uncultured fungus
Lineage: Eukaryota; Fungi
Description: partial contains small subunit ribosomal RNA, internal transcribed spacer 1, and 5.8S ribosomal RNA
Rfam family: Eukaryotic small subunit ribosomal RNA (bases 1-73)
Source: RNAcentral